Molecule: ribosomal RNA, 538 nt
Filed under: uncultured Pleosporales
Lineage: Eukaryota; Fungi; Ascomycota; Dothideomycetes; Pleosporales
Description: eukaryotic LSU rRNA
Rfam family: 5.8S ribosomal RNA (bases 173-326)
Source: RNAcentral
UCCGUAGGUGAACCUGCGGAAGGAUCAUUAUCGUAGGGCUUCGGCCCUGUCGAGAUAGAACCCUUGCCUUUUUGAGUACCUUUCGUUUCCUCGGCAGGCUCGCCUGCCAAUGGGGACCACAAAAAACACUUUGCAGUACCUGUAAUAGUCUGAACAAACAAACAAAAAUUAAAACUUUCAACAACGGAUCUCUUGGUUCUGGCAUCGAUGAAGAACGCAGCGAAAUGCGAUAAGUAGUGUGAAUUGCAGAAUUCAGUGAAUCAUCGAAUCUUUGAACGCACAUUGCGCCCUUUGGUAUUCCUUAGGGCAUGCCUGUUCGAGCGUCAUUUAAACCUUCAAGCUAAGCUUGGUGUUGGGUGACUGUCCGCUUCACUGCGGACUCGCCUCAAAAUUAUUGGCGGCCGGUACAUUGGCUUCGAGCGCAGCAGAAACGCGAACUCGGGCCCGUCGUAUUGGCUCCCAGAAGCUAUCUUCACAAUUUUGACCUCGGAUCAGGUAGGGAUACCCGCUGAACUUAAGCAUAUCAAUAAGCGGAGGA